GACGAACGCUGGCGGCGUGCCUAAUACAUGCAAGUAGAACGCUGAAGAGAGGAGCUUGCUCUUCUUGGAUGAGUUGCGAACGGGUGAGUAACGCGUAGGUAACCUGCCUUGUAGCGGGGGAUAACUAUUGGAAACGAUAGCUAAUACCGCAUAACAAUGGAUGACCCAUGUCAUUUAUUUGAAAGGGGCAAAUGCUCCACUACAAGAUGGACCUGCGUUGUAUUAGCUAGUAGGUGAGGUAACGGCUCACCUAGGCGACGAUACAUAGCCGACCUGAGAGGGUGAUCGGCCACACUGGGACUGAGACACGGCCCAGACUCCUACGGGAGGCAGCAGUAGGGAAUCUUCGGCAAUGGGGGCAACCCUGACCGAGCAACGCCGCAUGAGUGAAGAAGGUUUUCGGAUCGUAAAGCUCUGUUGUAAGUCAAGAACGAGUGUGAGAGUGGAAAGUUCACACUGUGACGGUAGCUUACCAGAAAGGGACGGCUAACUGCGUG
RNAcentral lists this ribosomal RNA (497 nucleotides) under uncultured bacterium. Its description in RNAcentral is "partial 16S ribosomal RNA". It matches the Rfam family "Bacterial small subunit ribosomal RNA", at positions 28 to 507 of the family's 1533-position model. The record is from RNAcentral.